UGUGCUACGAAUUGCAUAUAAAAGAGCGACCUUACUGGUCCAGAUCCUUGGAACCAACAGCACUGCCAGGGUGCAUUGACUGGCUGCCGACACCGGUGACCGAUGUAGAGACGUUUUCGCUGACGACUCUAUGGGCCAGGUGUCCCACCUAAAUCCUUAAACCUUAAACCUAGUGUGAACUGGUCACAGAAGCCCAUAGUCAUCACAACGUGAAAAACGCGAGCCGUCCUUGAGACUUGAGUUCCUAGUAUCACAUAUCAAGAUAGAUCACAACAAAGAACAUCACUAAAUAGAUAUUGCAGCAUAACAACAACAAAAAAACUAUUACAUUUUCAUAUUAUAUCUCGGAAACUGUUAGAGAGUUCUAGAAAAUCGACAUGCUUAAGACGAUCACACAAAAGCUUUUCAGGCAUGAUUGGAAUAAAAACAAAGACGGCAAGAACAAGAGUUUUAUCUUUAUUUACCCAGAGAGAUUAAAAUAUGUGAAACAAAGAAACAAAAGAAAUUCAAAUUCUUUCACCAGUUGCCGACCAAAUUUGAAUCUCGGCACUGUCGCUUCCUUUCAAGCGAGGACAACGGGCGUCUUAUCUUAUAGGCCACCACGACUAGAUCCUGACAAAAAGAGGGCCUGCCUGGAUUUUUAUUAAUCGUUAGAUUGAAAACCAAUACACGGAGCGAUUGCUUAGAACAACAAAUUCAAUUAAUAAUGUCAAAUUGGUUCCUCACUAGUACAGUUUUCAGCUAGUUCUUCGGGCUAAAUAAUAAAAUAUUAGGAACAUCAUGGCUAUCAUUUUCCCGGCUUUGCGUCGACAACGACAUUUAAAUUACAAAAUGACGUCGUACUAAAAACGUAUUACGAAACUGGUCGCAAAACAUAAUACCAAUUAAAUUAAUACUAAAUA
Bombyx mori (domestic silkworm) is the source of this 902-nucleotide long non-coding RNA. RefSeq lists it as uncharacterized. The transcript is spliced from 4 exons. The record is from RefSeq and is a predicted model, not a curated record. Lineage: Eukaryota; Metazoa; Arthropoda; Insecta; Lepidoptera; Bombycidae.